RNAcentral lists this long non-coding RNA (620 nucleotides) under Elaeis guineensis (African oil palm). RNAcentral describes it as "long non-coding RNA (EGUI_LNC017565)". The record is from RNAcentral. Lineage: Eukaryota; Viridiplantae; Streptophyta; Magnoliopsida; Arecales; Arecaceae.
UAGCUUCGAGCCUGUGCAACCUCGGUCUCCAUCAACUUCAACUUAGUCUUCUAGGACCGGACCUCCUCUUCGACCUUGGAUCCAUCUGAGGGGGAACUGACAUCGAAGGGAUUGACCUCGGGUGGCCCUCCAGUCGAAGACCAAAAAAGCUGAAAAUGACCUUGAUGCACUCAUCUCUGGAUAUUUCUAAGUGAAGUAGAAAAAGCAAAGAGGUCUACUAAAAUUCGAUGAUCGAGUUGGCCAAAUGACAGGACUUCAAGUUUGGUGAUCGGAGUUUGUCUAUAGUUGAGGAUAAUGGAGUUCAGCUACACUGAGGAUGAAUGCAUCGACUGAUAGUGAUCAUCGGAGGUUCAUCGAAAAUCACCCGGCAAUCACUCUCCGAGCUCAAAAAGAGGAAAGCGGCAAAGUGGUGGAGGCCCCAGCAAAAGCGAUUGGCCAUUUAUAAGGAGUUGGACAGCCCCAAUCUGAUGACCAUUUAGGUUGCCACCGUGGAUGAACGUCAUUUAGUAGCUCAUGAUUGACCAUCGUCGGCUCAACACAGAAACUCAGAUUCGACGAUCUAGAUCAACUAAUUGAGACAUCAAUGGCAUAGAUUCUCGACAUUUGUCAUGAAUUGAUUG